This 254-nucleotide ribosomal RNA is filed under the name uncultured bacterium. Its description in RNAcentral is "partial 16S ribosomal RNA". It matches the Rfam family "Bacterial small subunit ribosomal RNA", at positions 524 to 776 of the family's 1533-position model. The record is from RNAcentral.
GACGUAGGGCGCGAGCGUUGUCCGGAUUUAUUGGGCGUAAAGAGCUCGUAGGCGGCUUGUUGCGUCGACUGUGAAAACCCACGGCUCAACCGUGUGGUCUGCAGUCGAUACGGGCAGGCUAGAAUUCGGUAGGGGAGACUGGAAUUCCUGGUGUAGCGGUGAGAUGCGCAGAUAUCAGGAGGAACACCGGUGGCGAAGGCGGGUCUCUGGGCCGAUAUUGACGCUGAGGAGCGAAAGCGUGGGGAGCGAACAGG